GCAUAUCAAUAAGCGGAGGAAAAGAAACCAACAGGGAUUGCCCUAGUAACGGCGAGUGAAGCGGCAACAGCUCAAAUUUGAAAUCUGGCUUCGGCCCGAGUUGUAAUUUGCAGAGGAAGCUUUAGGCGCGGCACCUUCUGAGUCCCCUGGAACGGGGCGCCAUAGAGGGUGAGAGCCCCGUAUAGUUGGAUGCCUAGCCUGUGUAAAGCUCCUUCGACGAGUCGAGUAGUUUGGGAAUGCUGCUCAAAAUGGGAGGUAAAUUUCUUCUAAAGCUAAAUACCGGCCAGAGACCGAUAGCGCACAAGUAGAGUGAUCGAAAGAUGAAAAGCACUUUGAAAAGAGGGUUAAAUAGCACGUGAAAUUGUUGAAAGGGAAGCGCUUGUGACCAGACUUGCGCCGGGCUGAUCAUCCGGUGUUCUCACCGGUGCACUCUGCCCGGCUCAGGCCAGCAUCGGUUCUCGCGGGGGGAUAAAGGCCCUGGGAACGUAGCUCCUCCGGGAGUGUUAUAGCCCAGGGCGUAAUGCCCUCGCGGGGACCGAGGUUCGCGCAUCUGCAAGGAUG
Molecule: ribosomal RNA, 561 nt
Filed under: Botryoderma lateritium
Lineage: Eukaryota; Fungi; Ascomycota
Description: partial 28S ribosomal RNA
Rfam family: Eukaryotic large subunit ribosomal RNA
Source: RNAcentral